Molecule: ribosomal RNA, 497 nt
Filed under: uncultured bacterium
Lineage: Bacteria
Description: partial 16S ribosomal RNA
Rfam family: Bacterial small subunit ribosomal RNA
Source: RNAcentral
GAUGAACGCUGGCGGCGUGCCUAAUACAUGCAAGUCGAGCGAACAGACGAGGAGCUUGCUCCUUUGACGUUAGCGGCGGACGGGUGAGUAACACGUGGGUAACCUACCUAUAAGACUGGGAUAACUUCGGGAAACCGGAGCUAAUACCGGAUAAUAUUUCGAACCGCAUGGUUCGAUAGUGAAAGAUGGCUUUGCUAUCACUUAUAGAUGGACCCGCGCCGUAUUAGCUAGUUGGUAAGGUAACGGCUUACCAAGGCAACGAUACAUAGCCGACCUGAGAGGGUGAUCGGCCACACUGGAACUGAGACACGGUCCAGACUCCUACGGGAGGCAGCAGUAGGGAAUCUUCCGCAAUGGGCGAAAGCCUGACGGAGCAACGCCGCGUGAGUGAUGAAGGUCUUCGGAUCGUAAAACUCUGUUAUUAGGGAAGAACAAAUGUGUAAGUAACUGUGCACGUCUUGACGGUACCUAAUCAGAAAGCCACGGCUAACUACGUG